This is a non-coding RNA of Odocoileus virginianus texanus, 4122 nucleotides long. Lineage: Eukaryota; Metazoa; Chordata; Mammalia; Artiodactyla; Cervidae. The record is from RefSeq and is a predicted model, not a curated record.
UGAGCUUGUCGGCCCUGAACUGGAAGCCCUUUGUGUACAGAGGCCUGACCUCCACCCUAGCUGAGUUCAGUAAGUUUCCAGUUGAUUUAACCAAGACACGGCUCUAGAUUCAAGACCAGAAGAAUGAUGCAGACUUUAAAGAAAUCAAGUAUUGAGCAAUGUUGAAUGCGUUAGUGAGGAUAGGCAGAGAGGAAUGCCUGAAAGCACUGUAUUUGAGGAGUACCCUUCGAUGUUACACCAGGCUUCAUGUGGAACCAUCAAGAUAGGCACCUACCAGAGCUUGAAGCGGCUAUUUGUCAAGUGCCCAGAAGAUGAAACCCUUCUUAUAAAUGUGGGUCUGUGGAAUUCUCUCUGGAGUCAUAUCCUCAACCAUUUCCAUUCCAGCUAAUGUGUUGAAAAUUCAGAUGGCAGCACAAAACAACACCUUCAAGGAGGAAUAAUAGGCGACUUCAUUAACGUUUACUAGCAAGAGGGAACCAGAAGACCGCGGAAGGGCGUGUCCCUCGUUGCUCAGAGGGCCACCGAUGUUGGCUGCAUGGAGCCGUGGGUUUACCGCCUCACUGAGAAGCAUCUGAUCUUCUCGUGCCUGAUGGGAGACACUGUGUAACCCAUUUCCUCUCAAGCUUCAGCGCUGGCUUGGCAGGGGCCCUGGCCUCAAACCCUGCCAGUCUGGUGAGAGCACGCACACUGAACUGGAAUCCUUCAGGAUGGCAGACACCCUGGUCUCACAGGCGCUCUGCAGUGCUUGCUACAGACAUGGGAGGACGAGGGGCUUUUUGUUCUGUGUAAAGGGUUUUGGCUAAGUUGAUUGAGACUUGGUCCUUGGAAUAUUAUUUUCUUUGUGACAUACAAGCAGUUGAAGGAAUUGAAUUUGUGACAAGACUGCAUGAGACAUCCUUCUGAAAAUGCUCACUUCUGAAAUAGCAGCGCUUCCAGUCUUUCCCACUGCUUUGCCCGCCACAGAUGCUUAGGUGUCCACAAGUGAGGACUGUGUUAUGUGAGUUGCUGUAUCUUGGCCUUGGGUGCUCUGCUCCAAACAUUUAAUGGCAUAAACUGUAACGUCCAGACACUAGUUCUUACUAUCCAAGUACCCUUCCACAUCAAAUAAAACAUGAAAUGCACGUUUCUUGCUAAGGAAAACUUGCAUGAAUGUCAGGAACUGUGGGUCAUUUCCUUUGCAGAGAGUAACUCCUGCAUCUCAGAUCAUAGCGGAGACUCCCUGAUGUUCUAAAGAAGCUCAUCCAAACCAUGGAAUAGAGCCUCUGAGAAAGUGUCAUUGUUCUGAACUUCUGGGCAGCUUUGGCUUGGUGUCUGCUGAAGAAGUUCACACAUAGAGACAUGGUAUACCUCAGGUAUAAACAAUGCAGGAUAUGGAUCCCUGGAACGUUGCAGUGCUUUGUAGUUUCUUAUUUUGGCAGGGUCUUUCACUUAUUAAAGUAAGUGAUUUUUAAACCUUUACCACUUGAGGUUUGUGAGGAAUUGUUGUGAAAGUGUUAAUUUCUAAACUCAGGAUGGUAUAAUAUGUUAGCUUGGAAGGUGGCAAAGUCUGUGUUGGUGGGAGAUGUUUUUGAGCAAGUUGGGUCCUUAAGUAAUGUUCCUAAUUUUAGAUUUUAGCAAGUUUCUGUUUCCCAGUCUGUAAGAUGAGGGUGAUAACCUCUACUGAUACUGAGAAUAAAGUGAAGAAAACUUGACUUGUAGGAUAACUGUGUUUACAUCAUGCUUUCAUAUAGCCAUAAUACAAAAUAAAUGGUCUGGUGUAUUGAAGAGAAUUAUUUUAUCAUGAGCUGCUUCUGAGUGAGGUUCUUUGAUAAAAGCCAUGUGAAAGAAAGAGGUUAAGGUUUUAUUAUGUUUUCCUUAGCAAGAGGUUGCAAGUAAAUCAAAGAGUUGAUUUUUAUAGAUUUCCCAGGUUUCACUUUAGUUCUGGUCCUGUUUAUUAAAGUAUUUCUUGUCUUGGACUUCCUAAGUGGUUUGGAUGGAAAAUGAUUGCUUGAAAUCUCAAAAGCGAUUUUUCAUGUACCUAGAGUUUGAGAAGAGGUACGUAGUGUCUUCCUUCUUGUUUUUCUGAAGACAGGAUGUCAUUCUUCUUUGCUGUGUUCAUCUUACUCUUUUUAAAAUAGUGACUUUGAGCUCCCCAUGACCUUUACACUUCAAGAAGACAUCCCCAGAAAAGGAAAUAUUUAAUAUUUACAUGGGUACCUUUGUUUCUACCCUUUGAGAGUAACUUAAAUACAUACUCGCUGGGGCUCUAGGACAGACACUUCUGCAGUAAAUGCAGGUUCCCAGUCGGUCGAGUCCCUGGGCUGCUUCCUCCCUAGAAGUGACAUAGAAGCCACACAGGUUUUUCUGGGGGAUUGGACAAUUUUCCUCCCAAUCACCUUCACCUUGUCUUCUUUGUUAAUGCUGACUUUGAAAACAAGAUUUUUGUGAAGCAGAAUUUUAGUUCCAAAAGUAAGAUAUAAGGCACGAAAGGAGGUUGGAGGAGCAGGUGAGUGUUGAUUGCUUCAAGACUCAGGUGGAAGUCCAGUCAGUUCUCCCUGACCAGCUCCAAAUGUGAUGCUGAAGAGCUGAGCCCUUUCAGGCCUCAUCCCUUGUAAUGAAUCAUAUCUUUACAGAGGAAUUUUUUUUUCUUCUUACCAGAACAGUUCCACUGAGCUGGUAAUGGUUUUCUAUUAGAAAGGCUUUCACUUUUGCGUUCCUUGAGUUUAAAGGAUGACUAUUUUAUGAGAUUUUUUUAUGAGCCACUCUUUUUUUUCUUUUAAUGUAGAAGACAUUUUAAGUGUACAUAUAAUCCCUAGGACAGUAGAAGCAAGUUAAUUUUGAAGACCAUGUAAAGGUUGAAUACCAUUCAAUAUUCAUUGUAUCAGUUUGUUCAAAUAUGUACAUGUUUGUGUGUGUAUGUAUUUGCUCAGUUGUGUCUGACUCUUUGCGACCCCAGGGAUUGUAGCCUGCCAGGUUCCUCUGUCCAUGUUCACACCAGAAUGAAAAGAAAGCCAAGCCUCAUUGUAAAAGCACAUUUUUAAGAUAAAAAUAUAGUAUUUCUUUAGUGCAGAUUUAUUAAAUACCUUAUGGAACAGUCUUGUUUUGAUUUUUUUCUUCUUUUUUUGCUGCUUCCUGAAAAUGUAAUGUAGUUGUUGAAGUUUCUGACCCAAGAAAGAAGUUGAAGAACUGGGAGACUCGGUCCCCUUGUUUCCAGGGCUGUGACUACAAGUCCCCGCCUCCCCCCAUUCCCUUGGGCAAAUGUGGCAAAGGGAAUUUUACCUUUUAUAAUCAAAAUGAAGAAAGUGGAUUUUUUUUGUUUGCUUGUGGAUUUGUUUAAUCAUUGAUGCUAAGUAUUGCCUGAUUGAGAUAUAAAAAAAGUUUCUGUUCUCAGUAUUUGUUCAUGUGUUGGAAAUAGUGUAUGUUAUAUAAAAACUAUAAAAGUUUUCAUAAGCCUUUAUAUUUCAAGAUCUUCAUUUAAACAUAGUUGGAAUGUGUGGCAUAAACCUUGUAUCAUUAUUUAAUAAACUGGAAUAAUAUUUAAAAGAAGACCACAUUUCUAACUCAUCAGUGAUACAUUUUUUCCUGGAUUAGAAUCAGAACUAGAACUUCUAGAACUAACACGAAAAAAAGAUGUCCUUUUCCCAGGACCCGUGAUGCUGAGGCAGCUGCAAGGAGCGACGAACUGUCGGGGUUGAGCCCCAAGUGAGCUGAGGGCUCACGCUCUUCUGGCCCUAUCCUCCGGGCCCGCCCCACUUGAAGAAAUGAGUAGUGGAUUGGCCCCAAGUAAAAGCACAGUGUGUGUAUCCAAUCUGCCCUUUUCCCUGACCAACAGUGACUUAUAUCGGAUAUUUUCCAAGUAUGGCAAAGUUGUAAAGGUUACUAUAAUGAAAGAUAAAGAUACCAGGAGGAGUAAAGGGGUUGCAUUUAUUUUAUUUUUGGAUAAAGACUCUGCACAAAACUGUACCAGGGCAAUAAACAACAAACAGUUAUUUGGUAGAGUGAUAAAAGCAAGCAUUGCUAUCGACAGUGGAAGAGCAGCUGAGUUCAUCCUAAGACGAAACUACUUUGAUAAAUCUAAGUGUUAUGAAUGUGGGGAAAGUGGACACUUAAGUUAUGAAACUACUUUGAUAAAUCUAAGUGUUA